Molecule: ribosomal RNA, 293 nt
Filed under: uncultured eukaryote
Lineage: Eukaryota
Description: partial 18S ribosomal RNA
Rfam family: Eukaryotic small subunit ribosomal RNA
Source: RNAcentral
GGUUGAUCCUGCCAGUAGUCAUAUGCUUGUCUCAAAGAUUAAGCCAUGCAUGUGUAAGUAUAAACUGCUAUACUGUGAAACUGCGAAUGGCUCAUUAAAUCAGUCAUAGUUUAUUUGAUGAUACCUACUACUCGGAUACCCGUAGUAAUUCUAGAGCUAAUACGUGCGUCAAUCCCGACUUCUGGAAGGGACGUAUAUAUUAGAUACAAGGCCAACCGGGACUUCGGUCCCGACCCGUGGUGACUCAUGAUAUCUUCACGAAUCGUAUGGCCUUUGCGCCGACGAUGUUUCAU